This 482-nucleotide ribosomal RNA is filed under the name uncultured bacterium. RNAcentral's name for it is "partial 16S ribosomal RNA". It matches the Rfam family "Bacterial small subunit ribosomal RNA", at positions 30 to 507 of the family's 1533-position model. The record is from RNAcentral.
AUUGAACGCUGGCGGCAUGCUUUACACAUGCAAGUCGAGCGGAAACAGGCCGCAAGGUCCUGACGUGUGGCGAAGGCGGGAGUAAUACAUCGACACGUGUCCCGUCGUGGGGGAUAUGUACUCGAAAGAGGAGCGCAUACCGCAUACGAGCUAUGGAUGAGAGCGGGGGGGCGUAAGGGCUCGCGCGAUUGGAGCUGCCGCUGUUAGAUUAGGUAGUUGGUGGGGUAAAGGCUCACCAAGGCAACGAUCUGUAGCUGGUCUGAGAGGAUAAUCAGCCACACUGGAACUGAGACACGGCCCAGACUCCUACGGGAGGCAGCAGUGGGGAAUUUUGGACAAUGGGCGAAAGCCUGAUCCAGCAAUGCCGCGUGAAUGAAGAAGGUCUUCGGAUUGUAAACUUCUUUUAUUCGGGACGAAACGGCGUUUGUUAAUACCCGGGGGUAUUGACGGUACCGUAAGAAUAAGCACCGGCUAACUACGUG